This 852-nucleotide long non-coding RNA is filed under the name Piliocolobus tephrosceles (Ugandan red Colobus). RNAcentral describes it as "lncRNA (ENSPTEG00000034535.1)". Lineage: Eukaryota; Metazoa; Chordata; Mammalia; Primates; Cercopithecidae. The record is from RNAcentral.
UUUUUUUUUUUUUUUUUUUUUUUUAUUUUUUUUAUUUUUUUUUUUUUUUUUUUUUUUUUUUUUUUUUUUUUAUUUUAUGUUUUAAUUCUUUGGAAUAUGUAAUAUAUUUAUACUCAUUUAAAGUAGUGAACAAAAAUAGUGCUACAAUAAGUGCAGUUGCAAGAAAAAAAAAGAUUUAAGAUUUAUAUAAUCAAAUGAUUAAGUAUAAAAAUAAAUAGAAAAAUCUCUUUUUUUUUGUUUUGUUUUAAGUUUUGCAUCCUUUUUAAAGUUAAUAAAUAAAUAAAAAGAAACAGGGAAAAUGAUUAACCAUGAAGAAUAUUGUAUACCUAAAAGAAUUUUGUCUAUGCUUGCAACUGCACUUAUUGUAGCACUAUUUUUUGUUCACUACUUUAAAUGAGUAUAAAUAUAUUACAUAUUCCAAAGAAUUAAGGCCUAUAAUAAAAAAUGCUAUACCAGUAUCAUGUAUCCCCCUUGAAGAAAACAAUAAGAAAAUCGUGCAUAUAAAUUGUCCAUUACAAGAUCAAGAAAUGUUUUAUGCACCACCAGAAUUCAGUAACAACAUUUAUUCGUUUAAAGGUGUUUUUUUUUGAAAUUAAAGUGGAGAUGUACCAAUGGGUAAAAUAUUAUGGAUGUUUAGGUUUAUUUGCUAAAGGAAAAUUUAUGGAUCAUGUAGUACCAAACCCUUAUAAUUUUUUUUUUUUUCAUAAAAGUAGAAAAAACCCAACUUACAUACCAUAUGUUCAGGGAAUUGGAAGAAAGUAUGCGAAUUAUGCUAAAGCGGGCAGUUAUAGACUUCCAAAAAAUGCUUUAAUAAAUUUUCAGCAAAAAAAAAAAAUUGGAUUUAGUAGAUGA